RNAcentral lists this ribosomal RNA (1112 nucleotides) under Enterococcus faecium. RNAcentral's name for it is "bacterial SSU rRNA". It matches the Rfam family "Bacterial small subunit ribosomal RNA", at positions 127 to 1226 of the family's 1533-position model. The record is from RNAcentral. Lineage: Bacteria; Bacillati; Bacillota; Bacilli; Lactobacillales; Enterococcaceae.
UGCCCAUCAGAAGGGGAUAACACUUGGAAACAGGUGCUAAUACCGUAUAACAAUCAAAACCGCAUGGUUUUGAUUUGAAAGGCGCUUUCGGGUGUCGCUGAUGGAUGGACCCGCGGUGCAUUAGCUAGUUGGUGAGGUAACGGCUCACCAAGGCCACGAUGCAUAGCCGACCUGAGAGGGUGAUCGGCCACAUUGGGACUGAGACACGGCCCAAACUCCUACGGGAGGCAGCAGUAGGGAAUCUUCGGCAAUGGACGAAAGUCUGACCGAGCAACGCCGCGUGAGUGAAGAAGGUUUUCGGAUCGUAAAACUCUGUUGUUAGAGAAGAACAAGGAUGAGAGUAACUGUUCAUCCCUUGACGGUAUCUAACCAGAAAGCCACGGCUAACUACGUGCCAGCAGCCGCGGUAAUACGUAGGUGGCAAGCGUUGUCCGGAUUUAUUGGGCGUAAAGCGAGCGCAGGCGGUUUCUUAAGUCUGAUGUGAAAGCCCCCGGCUCAACCGGGGAGGGUCAUUGGAAACUGGGAGACUUGAGUGCAGAAGAGGAGAGUGGAAUUCCAUGUGUAGCGGUGAAAUGCGUAGAUAUAUGGAGGAACACCAGUGGCGAAGGCGGCUCUCUGGUCUGUAACUGACGCUGAGGCUCGAAAGCGUGGGGAGCAAACAGGAUUAGAUACCCUGGUAGUCCACGCCGUAAACGAUGAGUGCUAAGUGUUGGAGGGUUUCCGCCCUUCAGUGCUGCAGCUAACGCAUUAAGCACUCCGCCUGGGGAGUACGACCGCAAGGUUGAAACUCAAAGGAAUUGACGGGGGCCCGCACAAGCGGUGGAGCAUGUGGUUUAAUUCGAAGCAACGCGAAGAACCUUACCAGGUCUUGACAUCCUUUGACCACUCUAGAGAUAGAGCUUCCCCUUCGGGGGCAAAGUGACAGGUGGUGCAUGGUUGUCGUCAGCUCGUGUCGUGAGAUGUUGGGUUAAGUCCCGCAACGAGCGCAACCCUUAUUGUUAGUUGCCAUCAUUCAGUUGGGCACUCUAGCAAGACUGCCGGUGACAAACCGGAGGAAGGUGGGGAUGACGUCAAAUCAUCAUGCCCCUUAUGACCUGGGCUACACACGUGCU